Molecule: small nuclear RNA, 107 nt
Filed under: Bison bison bison
Lineage: Eukaryota; Metazoa; Chordata; Mammalia; Artiodactyla; Bovidae
Source: RNAcentral
GUGCUUACUUGGUCAACAUGUAUACUGAAAUUGGAACAGCACAGAGAAGAUAAACAUAGUUAAUGUGUAAUGAUGGUUCACACAUUUGUGAAUCAUCCCAUAGCUGU